CCUUCCCCUCCCUCCCCCUUCCACCUCCCUCCCCCUUCCACCUCCCUCCCCCUUCCCUUCCGCUUCCCUUCUUCCCUUCCCCUUCCUUCUUCCCUUCCCCUUCUCCUUCCCCUUCCCUUCUCCUUCCAUUCCCCUUCUCCUUCCCCUUCACCUCCCUUUCCCUUCCCCUUCCCCUUCUGCUUUCUUCCUUCCUUCCUUUUUUCCUUCCUUCCCUCCCUCCUUCCUCUUUCUUUCUUUGGACAGGUUUUGCUCUAUUGCCCAGGCUGGAGUAGAGUAGUGUUAACAAGACUCACUUAAAAUUAUUUUUAACAGAAAUUUAUUUAUGCAAAUGUCUUUUCAAUGUAACCAAUAUAUCUCUUUUAAGUGAAAAAUAUUUACCAUCUGUUAGCCUCAACACUUUACCUUCUGCAGCCUCAAUUUUUCCAGCUCUAGCAAUCCUCCCAUCUCAGCCUCUCAAGUAGCUGGGACUACAGGUGGUGCCACCAUGCCUGGCCAAUUUUUGUAAUUUUUUGUAGAGAUGGGGUUCACCAUGUUGCCCAGGCUGGACUCGAAUGCCUAGACUUAGGUGAUCCUCCCACUUCAGCCUCCCAAAGUGCUGAGAUUAUAGGCAUGAGCCACCACGCCCAGCCAAAAGGUUGAAACAUCUUCUAAACUUGAAAACAAAGUACAUGGCAUUUAAAUACAUAUUCCUUAACAUUUGGAAGACAUGUUAACACCAUAUAAACCCAGAGCCUGUAAUUUAGAUUAGUAACAUGUAGAUAUUUUCAAUUUCUUCUAAAGUUUUAAAAAAAAUAAAUUUUAUAUUCAGAGAAUUCUUAACGACAGAAGGUAAAUAUUUUUUAACUUAAAUGUGGUGACUUUGAAAAGAAAUUUGGUUAAUGUAAGUUAGAUAAAUUUCUGUUUAAAAAUAAUUUAAGAAAAAUAAUGCUGAAGGAGGAGUGGUCAUAGCAUUUAUUCCAGAGAGAGGAAUUUUGUCCUGAUCUGUCUGUAAUAACAAAAGUAUAUGGACCAAGAUUAUUUUAUAGGGACAUAGAUUAAAAGAUAGUUUACAAUUUUAUUUUUAAAAAUGAAGAUAACCUUUUGAUACAUGUAUUAAAUGUAAGAGAACAAACAGCAUAAAAAUGAACUUUUGGGGGGAUAUUGUGGAAUACAAACAAGUACCGAGAACAGUGUGAGGAAUGAAAUUCUCAUCCUGGCUUGAUGUGGGCAGAACCUCACAGUCUGAGGACAACCCCAGUAUGUGGUGGUGUUAGGGCACGGCCCCUCUGUGUAGAAACUGUUCUCAUUUACUGAGACUUGAAGUCUCAGUAAAAAAUAAUACCAACCUCAACACAAAAUGAUUGGUUCAUCAUUUGAUACACCCUGUGCCUUUAUAACAUGUACAGUUGUGUUGCCAUUCUAUAAGGCUUAUCAUUUGUUACAUUUAAAACCAGAAUAAUUUCAAAUUUGAAGUGAAAUAAGUCCCUUAGAGAGAGAAAUUUCACAAUAUGACCCCUAUCUAUCUAUAAUCAUCUGUAUCUGUGUUGAGCCAUUUUUUAUAUGGAAAAAAGAAAAACAUCCUUCUAGACCUUCUAAGUUUUAUAGCGUCACACGAACAUUGAGGCAAUGUGAUAGACAAACGUAGACGUUAAUAUUAUUUGGAGAACAGUUUCAUUUUCAGUAUCAGCAAACCGUCAGGUGUUGGUGGUCUUAGGCAUUAUUAACCUCUAGGGUCCACAUCUUUGCAUGUGAAAAGUAGGUACUAGAGAAGAGCGAAGAGAGAGCACUCUCAUUGUUCCCGGAGAAAUGGACUAGAGAAAUAUAAAGUCACCUAGAGAAUGAUUGUGCACACAGCACUUUUCACUAGGGAAGCCAUCUCAUAAUUCCUGUUGUAUAUUUUUACUACAAUGUUAAGUUAUUGGUUUGGGUUUAGAUGUGUUCAUUAAAUACAGGUUAAUGUUACUGCCCUAUAAUUUAGGAUGGUACACAGAACCUGUGGGAAAUUAUCUAUCACUCACAUAACCAAGGAGUAACAGAAUGGUGAGUAUCUUGUACUGUGAUGUGACAUUGAAUUGACCCAUUAAGAUAGCCAAUGUGAGCUACCCACAUGCAGCAAUUGAAAUUUCCAAAAUAGAUCAUUACAAUGUGCUAAGAUCAGUUCAUAUGAAACAUUCACAUAUAUUUGACAUGAACAUUUUAAUUUUGCAUAUCAGGUGCGUUUUUAUUUUUAGUUUUAUUUUUUGAGACAGAGUGAGACAGAGUCUCACUCUGUCACCCAGGCUAGAGUGCAGUGGCACAAUCUCAGCUCAACUGCAACAUUCACCUCCCAGGGUAAAGCAAUUCUCUGGCCUCAGUCUCCCAGGUAGCUGGGAUUACAGGCACCUGCCACCACACCCGGCUAAUUUUUGUAUUUUUAGUGGAGACCAGGUUUCACCAUGUUGGCCAGGCUGGUCUUGAACUCCUGACUUCAGGUGGUCCUCCCGCCUUGGCUUCCCAAAGUGCUGAGAACUUAUCUGUUUAAGCCCGCUGUUUGCCUUGGUGCACAGAGCGCUGCCUCUGAACUGGGGUAGCCCAUUCCUAGGGAACACGGCAAGUAGCUCUUUGCACAGGAGCCGCCAGCCCUCACGGCGCAGGGAAAGAAGGCUGCUUAUCUUCAGUGUGAUCUGAAAAAUUACAGGCCUGCGCGGUGGCUCACACCCGUAAUUCCAGCACUUUGGGAGGCCAAGGCGGGUGGAUCACUUGAGGUCGGGAGUUCGUGACAGGUCUGGCCAACAUGGGCCUGUGUCAACUGAAAAUACAAAAAUUAGCUGGGCAUGGUGGCGCUUGCCUACAUGUAAUCCCAGCUACUCAGGAGGCUGAGGUAGGAGACUCGCUUGAACCCGGGAGGCGGAGGUUGCAGCUGAACCGAGAUUGCGCCACUGCACUCCAGCCUGGGCAACAAAGCGAGACCUUAUUUCAGAAAAAAAAAAUUACCGCUGCGUGUUUUACUUGUUUUCCACACUUGUCUCUGGCUUGAUCAGGGCACAUAACUACAUAUUUUUCUAUCUGUGUAUCAAAAAUAUGUUGGUUUUUAAAAAUAAAAUCAUGAAGGGAGGCCCCGGCCCUAGCCAGAGGCUGCACUUGGACAGCCGAGGGACCACCGAGGCGGUGCAGGACCUGAGCCCAGAGAAAAGACCUGGAAAGGAAGCUUCUCGCAGAAUGCGGCGGGAACAGCUGCAGCGAGCAGGGGUUCCAGAAAGCACUGGCCCCUGAGCCCCAGUGCAGUGGACCUGACACAGGGGUUAGCCCGGGCGGUGGGAAGAGCCUAGGAAGCACGGCCCUCCGCGCUGCCCCCCACCCCCGUCCCCUCCCCCCGCUGGGACACCUUUUCACUUCAGGAGCCUCUGGAAUAGCCGGGGUGUUUGGGGUGCUGAAAACACAGGGUGCCCAGGCUCAGCCCCAGCCUUAAUCGGACACAGACAAUUUUGUGGUGUUUCUUUGGUCAGUUUUUUAAAUUGGUCUUUUUCAUAUAUUUUUUUUUUUAAUGAAAGGGUUCCUGAGGCCGGGUGCGGUGGCUCAAGCCUGUAAUCCCAGCACUUUGGGAGGCCGAGGCGGGUGGCUAACGAGGUCAAGAAAUCCAGACCAUCCUGGUCAACAUGGUGAAACUCUACUAAAAAUACAAAACAUUAGCUGGGCAUGGUGGCGUGUGCCUGUAAUCCCAGCUACUCAGGAGGCUGAGGCGGGAGAAUUGCUUGAACCCAGGAGGUGGAGGUUGCGGUGAGCCGAGAUUGCGCCAUCGCACUCCAGCCUGGGUAACAAGAGAGAAACUCCAUCUCAAAAAAGAAAAAAAAAAAGGGGGAUCCUUUGGUAGAAAGAAAAUCUGAAAUUCUAAAUACUGUCUAUUUUAUCCAUAUACUGUUGACCCUCCCCCGAAAAUAUGUCCUGAUUCCGGCCACUCGCCAUGACCUUUUUCAUCACUUCCCAUCAUUUCUCAUCUGGAUUACUGUACCAGCCUCCUCACUGACCUCCCCGCUGCCACCCUGUGGAAGCGCUGGCCCCCAGGGUCGGGGGUGACAAUGACGAGGACUGGGGUGCACACGUGAGUGGGGCCGCCUGGCCAGGGAAGCCACCCACAUGCACACAUGUUCACCCACAUGUGUGCACACACGUGCACACUGCACACACACAUGUUGACACUUCAGAGUGUGGAGUACGCUGACUCUGGGCCCUGCUGGCCCAGGCAGGGGCCCAUUGUGAUGGGUGCCAUAACCCUACAAUGUCCCUGGUGCUGGGUACCCACCCGCCUACCGCCUGCCCUACUCUGUCUGGAGCUCUUUGAGACAAGACACAUAGCAGUGUGUAGUUCUGCCCAGAAGAGGCUUUCCUAAGUGAGAGGUACAGCUGGAUCAGCAGACUCAGGUGAGUACGACCUGCUCUGUUCCCUCCCUGCUGACUGGGUGGGUGGUGCUGGCCCCUGGGCAGGUGCUGAGGAGGGCCAUCCCUGAGCACUCACCAGGUGCCCGUUCUCCACUGACAAUAUAGAUGUUCAUCUCGUUUGUCAUCACAGUGACGGUGGGGGCGGGGUGGGCUUUGGGUGCUGUCCCCUAAUGUGCCUAUUUUACAGGUGAGAUGUCUAGGGUCAGAGAAGUGGUUACUGGCCCAGGACCCGUUGGGGUGUUCUCUGGAGUGCUGGGGUGCAGUGGGACCCUCAGAUGACUUUGUUUUGCAUGACUCUGGGCUGUGCUCUCAGCCCUCCCCUGUGCCAUGCUGGACUCAAGCCCUGACCUCUGCAGCCUCCCUGUCUUGGAUCCAAAAUUUCCCUGGGGUUCCAGACCCUGAUGGGGCAGAUUCUGGCCCUGCGGCUGGGGUGCUGGGGGUGAUUCUCAGUCUAAGUCUGUGCCCUAAGCUGGAUCCCCACAGGAGGUGUUCUCACCAACUCAGACUCAGAUGUGGUCACUGAUGGUCCCUGUAGGACCCACUGGACACAUGGGGUCCUUCGUCUAGGAGUGGGGUGGGGAGCGCUCUGUCCUCAGGCAGUUGUGGAAAAUGGAGCUCUGGAGAGCUGCCUGGAGGGUGACAAUCGUUCCUCCUUGUCAAAGGGCUUGGGGAAGGAAUGGGACCUUCCUCCAGUGACCCUUUCUCUUUCCGAACCUCCAGAGGACUUGCCCUCCCUUUGCCUCAAGUGUUUCCAGGAGGGAUGGCCCCCUGGGUGUUCUCCAGGACCAAGGCCCAGAAUUCUCUUGUUCUUCCUCAGUGACCCAAGAAAACGAAGCCCCCUCCUGUACUGACAGCUGGGAAUUGCGGAGUCCGCCAUCCCUCCACCUGAGACGGGGUCUCCACAAGCACAGAAGCUGCUUUUGACUCAAUAGAUCUUUUUUUCCCCAAACCAAACACCCUCCUGUUUAGCUGGCAUUGUUCCUGAAGCGGUGUCACUGGCCAGAGUGAGAAUUGGAGUAGAAUGGAGCAGUCCCCAGAUGUCUUGCUUCCUACAGAAAACUGGGCAUCUUCAUUAUUCCCAAAUGAUCCCAGAGGCUGAUCCUCUAGAGACAUCUGGUCCCUGACCCCAUCUGCCUCCAGCUGCCUGGAACAGCCAUUGUAGGCCCUUCACCCUCAACAGGAUGGAGAUGGAUGAGGACCCAGGUAUCCUGCCCACCUAGGGGCAAGGCAACAUCAUUGUUACUAAGUAUGAGCAGGUGCAGGUCAGGCCAGUCCCUCAGGGGAGGUGGGGCCUCACCUUCCCCACUGUCCCUGGUCAGAGGGUCCUGGGCUCCCUAGGAUCACAGGGUGGAGACAGGCUGUCCAUGCACUCAGGACCCCAAGCCCCUCACCUUCCCCCCAGUCCCCACCCUGGCCCUUGCUGGGUCACAGGGAUGCAGAGCUGGGGCAACAGUGAAUGAGACAUGAGCAUGGUGACCUGAAAAUUCACUGAUCACCUCCGGAUUGUGCAGAGUUCUCUGUCCCCCACACAUCAGUCUCACAUCAGGGAGGGUUUUGUUCUUAGAAAGGCCUCUCCGAGGUAGGGCAAGUCUCUCCAGGGUGGAAAUUCCUCCCUGCCUCUCCUGCAGGUACAGCAUGGGGUCAGGGUUAGGGCAGAGCUUCGAGGCCCAUCUAGGGAGCUCAGGAGAGCAGGUGGGACAGAGAGGGGGCUGGGUCAGACCCCUGGGCUCUCAGCACUGAGGUCUCCACAUGAGCAGGAGAGGAGGGGGCAGCCUGAGGGUCUGGCCCUGUCCCUUUGGGGUGUGCCCUUGUGAGAUCUGAGGGUGGUGGCCACAGGGCUAGGGGACACCUGGCCAGGCCUGUGGACAGUUGUGUAGCAGGUCUCUGAAGGCUCAGGAAGCCCAGCUGUCAUCCUGUAGGGAGGAGCAAGGGGACAUCAAGGGCUGUGACCCUGGGAGGCUAGGGGAAUAGAAGGGCAGGGCCCAGCUUGGGCAUCUCUGGUGAGGCCAGAGGGGCAACAGAGCGUGCAGCUGAAGGCCCCAGGAGUGGUGCUGGGAAGGGCUCUGGGCCUGGGAAAGGGAGCCCAGCCUGGAGCCAACCUCUCAGGACUCAUAGGAUGGAGAGAGGAGGAGCCUGGGGGAGAGGGUUGGGGUGAGCCUAUGAGACCUGCCACUUCUGGGACACACCUGAACCAAGCCAGCCCAGGGUGGAGCUGACAGUCUGGGGAGGACAACAGAUGAGGUGAGCAGGGAACAGUGGCUCACUUGGGACCCUUCAGUCGGGGGACUCUGUCAGUCCCCAAGGCUCUGCGUGGCCCUCCAGAGACUCUGCUUCCCCAGGCUCAGUCAGCACUGCAGACGGUAGAUGGAGGGGCAGAGUCAGGGGCAGGCAGGACAGUGGGGGAGGACAGCCAGGCACCCCAUGUCCCGGUUUUUGCAGUGGCUGGAAGGAGGCUGAGGGCUGAAGACUGACUACCCUGAGAGCCAGCUGAGGCUGGAGACGGGGUGGUGGGGCAUCCCCACUACCUGCAGGGCCCUUGGUCACCUUUGUCACCCCAGGAUUUUCCACAGCAGCACUGGGCAGCCCAGUGAGAGUGGCCAAGGCAGGGGUGUGGGCAGAUACUGGGGGUCUCAUUCUUAGGCUGUGACAGGAAGAGGAUCACAGAAGGGCCAGGGUGGCCAGAGAGGGUCACAAUCUCUGGGCCAGGCACAAUGGGGGAAGGCGGGAAACAGGCAGGGUCAGCAGCCAGGGUGCAGGCAGAGGCAGGUGCAUGCUGGGAGGUCAGACCCUGCAAGGCCCGUCUGGGGCGCCGGGUGGGAUGGGCUGCAGAUGCGUCCUCAGGGCCCUGGGCAGCUCUCAGGCCAGGCUCCCUGGACUCUGGUGGGUGAUGUGGUCACUCCCGAGGCACUGCUGUCAGUCAGGGUUCAGCCACCACCCUGGGCAGCACUCAUCCCGUCUCAGGACUGUACUUGCUCAGCUCCCACAGAGGGUGUUGCCCAAGACAGGCAGCCCCAUUGUGCAGCCCAAGGCACCCCACAGGCCCCAAAUGGCCCCCACCAGGCCAGCCUCGAGCUCCCUCUCCUCCAGGCUCCCAGUGCCUUGUGGGCAGUCGGCUCCAUAGGGAGGCUCUUGCCUUCCUUCCCUGUGCCUUCUUCCUGGCUGAGACUUUUGGUGGAUAGGGAUAGGGCUAGUCCUUCCCUGGGGUCCUCUCUGGGAGGGGAUGGAUCCUGGCCUGGGCAGGCUCUCAGCUCUGCCUGGGUUGCCUUACAGUGAGAUGGAGCUGCCCCCCCAUCAGCGUCCUGGAGGUAAAGCUAAGAGCCUGGGCCUGCUGUGUGGGAGGCUGGUCCAGGGACAGGGAAUCGGGUGGUCACUGAGGCAGUGGGAGUGGCCCAACGGCCAGGGUGGUGGUGAGUGGGCCACGGCUGUCACUGGGAAGGGCAGCCAUUCCUGCUGGACCCUGUCCCCUGAGGGUUUCACCAAAACCCAAGAACUGCUGGCCCAGAGGUCACUGCCUGUUUGCACCAAGUCCCAAGCUAGAGCCUGGGACUGACCUAAACUCAGGGCUUCUGUGGUCUGAAGAUGGUGUGUCCUGGCAUCACCAGUCCAGACUGCCAGCUCCAGUUAGUUCAGAGGGUCUCAGCCCCUGGGGUCUGCCCUUUCCUGGCUCCUUCCGGUUGGGUCCCUUCAGGGCCCUGAAGCCCAGGACCCAGCAUCCACGGGGCCACUACCAGAAGCCUGACAGCUCCGCUAACUCCAUCAUGGCCCAUUUCACAGCAAAGACAUCAGGAAAUAACAACACAAAUUAAUAAGUGGCUGAAGAUACUGAGACUGACCAAAAUACAGGAACAGCGAGAAGGUACCAUGGGGAGGGAGUGGCCCCCGUGACUGCUCUCUGCAGAGCCAGGAGACAGGCACCCAUGGCUGUGACCUGGCUGACCUGGCACCACCUGCCUCUCAGUGGGUGGGUGGCACCCAUCCUCACCAUAAACAGCAGCCCUGUUCGCCAGCUUUCCUCACUGGCCACCUGUGUCCUGUCUCACUGGAGCGUUCUUUCGUCUGUAACUCUCCCAAACAGUAUACAAAGGCAUUCCCCUGGCCGCUCAGGACUGGGCGUGGUCACUCCUGCUAGACAUUGAGGAAGUCAAGGCUGAGAAACCAGGGAAAUACAAGGUACAGCCCUCCCCUCCCAUAUUCAGCCAAGGCAGGACAAACAGGCCAGGCUGGAUCAGGAGCCCAGGACUCCAGCUGGAGGGAACCUGGAGUCUGGGUUGGGGGUGAGGGUUGUGGUCAGAUGCACAUCCGGACACACAGAUGCACAUCCGGGUGACACAGGCACCACAGGUACGCUGGGAUCUGCUGACACUCCCUGGCUUCAGAAAUGAGGCAAAAAGCAGCUUUCUGCAGGAGGAAACCUUCCUCUCUUCCUUCCAGAAGGUACAGUUCUGUCAAGGUGUGAAAGCGGAGUGUUCAGUAUUGCACCUCAUCUCUGUCACAAAAUGUUCCUAUUCCUGUCCUGGAAAGAUGGAGCUUUGCUGUUUAAGUUCUUAGGACCCAGGCAGAUGAAACUUUUCCAAAGGGCACACAACAGUGGUUCUCUUUAACGUGGAGACAGCACUCAGCCUGAAACCCUGGGCAUUCUCUGGUGUUCUUGGUGUUUCCAAGUGAAGUCAAAUAACUUCCCACAAAGGUUUGCCACAGAGGCCUCCAAAACUGGAGGGGAAGAACUAUUUAGAACCCAGAGGCUUCAGAAUCAAAGAUGAGGCCAAGCAGCAGAGUCCUGACCAGCUGAGGGCAGAGGAAGCAUGUGGGGACAGCUGGGAGAGGACGUCAUAGAGGCCCACCAUGGCCUUGGGAUCUGUCACAGAACCAUGCACUUGGAUGGCUGUGCACAUCUCCUCUCCACUGAUUGAUUAUAGUAUAUCUUUUCAUCUGCUACUCUCCAAUCAUGCAGGGAGUUUGCUACAAAACACACGUAACCACAGGCCAGGUCGUCCAAGCCAACCUGGCAGAUUCAGCAUGUCAAGGGCUUCAGGUGACUUUCAUGCAUACCCAAGUCUGAAGGUCCAUGGCUGUCCUGAAUCCUGGUGUCACCUUCCUGCCCCCAAAGCUCAACCAGCAGCAAGCCAGCCACAGAAAGGGACAAAACAUGAGUGUGUGGCCUUCCUGACACCCAGACAAGACUUCGGGCACAAAGCCAGGCCACAGCUCUGGCCCGACUCGGACCAGGGACGCCCCCCAUGCAGGCUGGUCUGCCCUGGCUGUUCUCCCUCCUGCCACCUUCUGUUUGACUGCUUGUGUCAAUAAAAGGAAAAUCAGCCAGUUUUCAGAAAAAAAAAAAUGUAGCUUUAUUAUGACAUAGGAGAGACUACAAAGCAUUAGGGGAGGAGAAGGAAUUACACAGGGCCUCAAAAUGAGAGGGGAAAAGAAAGGUUAACAUCUUGGUAAAUAAAGUCUCCAACCACAGCACAGUCAUUGGAAUUUUUUUCUUAA
Non-coding RNA from Callithrix jacchus (white-tufted-ear marmoset), 9885 nucleotides. The record is from RefSeq and is a predicted model, not a curated record. Lineage: Eukaryota; Metazoa; Chordata; Mammalia; Primates; Cebidae.